CACCGACACCGAGUGUGACAGUGUGUGUGUGUGUCUCUCCCUGUUCUCUGUCGCUCAGUCUCUGGCUCCCUCCCCCUCGACUCUGGUCCGGUCUCCCUUAGCGCGCGCGCCCGGCCCGCUGCUGACUCCGCCUCUAGGGAAGGCCGGCCUGAGCUGGGGGCCGGCCGGCCGGCGGCGGCGAGCAGGUGUGGCUGGCAUUGUAGCUGGUCGUCUCCUUCGACAAGGAGACUCGGCGACGUCGCGCAUCGGACUGACUCGUCGCUCUCUGUUCGUCGUUCCAGUCGUCGGUACCCCCUCCAGCGCCGCCUCGACAUGUGGGUCCUACCGUGGUAGCUGUAGUUCCCGUUGGGCCGGGAGUUCUUCCUGUGGCCGUUGACCGCGCGUACGGGGAUGUAGGAGCGCUUGCUCACGACGCUCGCCGACCGGAUAAUGCCGUACUCGUGGUUGGAGCAGUUGAAGUACUUCCUGGCCUACCCGUACCGGUUGCGGCGGCGGCGGUUGUUGCAGUGGUUGACCCCGCCGUGGACGAUGUAGUGCGGCGAGUAGCCGCGGAAGGAGCGGCUGCGGAUGGAGCCGGCGAAGACCUGGUAGCGGAGGAAGUACUAGUAGAUGUAGAAGCCGGAGCCGGACGAGUGGUACCGGUGGAGGCACGUGCCGGAGCACGGGCGGACGCGGAGGUUCCCGCAGACGCUGGGGUGCGGCCCGGUCAGCCGCCGCCAGAAGUAGCGCGAGAUGGAGUAGCGCGAGCCGUGGCCGCCCUAGUUCGGUACGCACAGCAGCAAGCCCCGGCUGGUCAAGCUGCUCGUGCUGCUGCACCUCGCGUUCUCGUUCUCGAGCAAAAAGUUAACCAAGAUGAAGAGGUAGUUGUAGCCGCGCGACCACCGGAGCAGGCAAGACCACAUGCACGUCUGCGUACAGCCCACCUCGACCCCGAAGCCGUAGGGGCGGCAGCAGUACCGGUAGCGGCAGCCGUCGAAGAAGCAGCCGUGCGGCGAGAUGUCCGUGGUCGCGGGGCCGCCGUCGGGCGAGUGGGCCGCGUCCACGAGCAGCGGCGGUGCGCGUUCGAGCCGCAGGGGCAGCUGCCCAGCCGCGACAUGCUCUGGCGCCUGUCCCUCAGGCCGUAGCUCCCGUCGGCGUUCGACCUCGUGUGCCUCGUCAAGUCCAAGGAGCUGUUCCGCCGGCACCUCUGCGUCCGCCUGUUCUGCCGGUGGCCCGGCAGCGGCACCGCCGACACGUGUCACUGCGUCCACCUCCUCGAGUUCUCGCACCACGCCGACGACGGGUAGACCCGCUCGCCGUAGCAGAAGCGGUGCCACAUGCCCGUCUACUCGUGGUACAAGCACGACGUCCCGUUGUGGGACCUGCGGAGGUACCCCGGGUUCAAGUUCUAGGGGAGGCGGAGGGAGAGGUAGAAGCUGUGGGAGUCGCAGUAGCGGACCCACGGUCAGAUGCUGGCGUAGGAGCAGGGGCGGCACGCGAGGCAGUGGCCGGCCGGGGCGCCGAAGUGGGUCGAGGUCGCGUACCCGUAGCCGGAGCAGCAGAGGUACAAGCGGUACGAGCGGCGGCCGCACGAGCUCGAGCAGGCGGAGGCGUGGUAGCGCGUCGCGCCGGAGAUGCCCCUCGUGCUGCAGCACGGGUAGAGGUAGAAGACCGUCCACGGCGUCAUGAAGUAGUAGCCGCGGCGGCUCCACAAGUGGAAGCACCCGGUCGAGCUCAAGAAGAUGCUGGUCCGCGGGCUGCGGUACUCCUCGUACACGAGGCGCGAGAGGGAGUGGUGGCAGCGGGAGCCCUUGAUGGAGUCGUGCGAGGAGCAGUGGCAGCACCGGUUCGAGUGGUGGUCCCCUCCGUUCGUUCCCACCUAGGGGCUGUUGGAGUUGCAGCCGGUGGAGCUGAUGAAGAAGACCGACGAGCGGCGGGAGUCGGAGGAGUUGAAGCGGCAGAUGGAGGAGUAGCGGUCGACCAUGUGGAUGUUCUUCUGGCGGCCUCUACUAGUGGGUCUGCGGUAUCGGUUUCCCCCUCGAGUACUAACUACGUGUACUGGUCAUUUAUUCACUCACUGAUACAGACGCCAACCACAUACUUACAACUUUCGUCUUCUUCUUUCGUUCCUAACUCUCAAGCCUAUCCACUUUAAUUCCCUCCUGUUACUUUACGUACCACACUAAACACUGAAGUUCUAAGUCCUCACAACGGAACAACUAAUUAUAUGAUCACAGAACCUUUUUAGACCGUCUUUUUACAAUUCUACAAUACAUGAGGG
RNAcentral lists this ribosomal RNA (2260 nucleotides) under Triticum aestivum (bread wheat). Its description in RNAcentral is "partial small subunit ribosomal RNA". Lineage: Eukaryota; Viridiplantae; Streptophyta; Magnoliopsida; Poales; Poaceae. The record is from RNAcentral.